Paramormyrops kingsleyae is the source of this 1260-nucleotide long non-coding RNA. RefSeq lists it as uncharacterized. The record is from RefSeq and is a predicted model, not a curated record. NCBI's taxonomy places the organism in Eukaryota, Metazoa, Chordata, Actinopteri, Osteoglossiformes, Mormyridae.
AGACAACUGAGCAGCCAAAACAUCUUAAAAGAUGAGAUAUUGUGGAUAAAGAAGGUAAAAAGAUGUCCGUGGUGAGGCAGUACUUUUUGCAGUUUAAAGUCCGACACAUUUAUUUAAACAUAAGGAAAAGCCGGUGUCCGGACAGAUUUUUACAUCCGUUAUAUAAAGAUGUAUAAUUAAACGUUUGUCGCUACCCGGUCUGCUUCUUCCGGGUCCGGCUCAUGUACAUGUGCGCAUGUUAGUCGCAUCAUUGACGUCAUGUCAGUGUUCUUUGCUCGGACACGAUUAAUGAUCACGCUACAUUCAUACAGUGCCGGAGUGCAACUCAGCUGUAACGGGGUUUACUUCUUCAAGUGGGCCCAGGCGCAUUUUAGCUUACUGUGCCAAGGCUAGUCGCACUAGUCUAACGAACCGGAUUUUGGGGGUCCAACGUGCUCAAGCACGGUAUGGAUUGUGUGUACACCCCUAAUCCCCAAUAUAAGUACAAAGGAGAGCCCAGGAUCCGCUAUGAGGAAUAUUUACUGAAGCGAUGGCCUUCACAUAAAGUGGCUCAUAGAAAGCUGGCUCAUUUUGCACAGAGCAACCUGCAGCAACUGUACCGUGUGAAAGACUCUUUUCACCAGCGAGACACAUAGUGCAGAAGGAGAGGUCAGCUCUGUCAUCUUACGGUGUCAACAAGCUUCUGCACCAGGUUAAUGGAAAAGUAGCCUAGGUGUAGCGAAUGGAUAUUCACUGAGAUCGAACAUUUCCCCAGUAAGUGUUGCCUUAUAAAGAGGCAGUCUGCGCUUUAUCGUUUAAUGUAGAUUACUGAAGCUACACUUGUUUCAGCAGUGUCAAUUAUUGUUGAAAAUUUGACAUUGUCAAUGUUAAUCUAAAGUACAGAUUCCAUUAAUGGUAGAGAUGCUGACACAUGACAUGCGUAUAGAUCUCUCAACACAAACACGCCUGCUCAUGUGCACUGUGAACGGAGUGAGUGCCAUGAAGAAGCGGGAGGAAGACGUCUGGAUAUUGUUUGCUCAGCAUUGUGUGAUUGCAUGGAUCCAAAGCACACACAGGGAUUAUCUGUGCUUUUCUUGCAUUUCCUAUAGUCAAAGGGAUAUCAAAGGGGAUAUAUAAAGCAAAAGUCAGCAUACCCUAUAAAGGCACUAAUAAAUUCAGCAGAGGCCUCAUGUGGCUGGGAAUCGAUUAAGUUUCUCGAUAGCAGGCCAACCGUACAUGGAGGCUGUUGGUGGCACAGAACCAUCAGUGCCUGACAGCUCU